RNAcentral lists this ribosomal RNA (253 nucleotides) under uncultured bacterium. RNAcentral describes it as "partial 16S ribosomal RNA". It matches the Rfam family "Bacterial small subunit ribosomal RNA", at positions 524 to 776 of the family's 1533-position model. The record is from RNAcentral.
UACGGGGGGGGCAAGCGUUGUUCGGAAUUACUGGGCGUAAAGGGCUCGUAGGCGGCCAACUAAGUCAGACGUGAAAUCCCUCGGCUUAACCGGGGAACUGCGUCUGAUACUGGACGGCUUGAGUUCGGGAGAGGGAUGUGGAAUUCCAGGUGUAGCGGUGAAAUGCGUAGAUAUCUGGAGGAACACCGGUGGCGAAGGCGGCAUCCUGGACCGACACUGACGCUGAGGAGCGAAAGCCAGGGGAGCAAACGGG